GAUGAACGCUGGCGGCGUGCCUAAUACAUGCAAGUCGAGCGAACAGACGAGGAGCUUGCUCCUCUGAUGUUAGCGGCGGACGGGUGAGUAACACGUGGAUAACCUACCUAUAAGACUGGGAUAACUUCGGGAAACCGGAGCUAAUACCGGAUAACAUGUUGAACCGCAUGGUUCAACAGUGAAAGACGGUCUUGCUGUCACUUAUAGAUGGAUCCGCGCCGCAUUAGCUAGUUGGUAAGGUAACGGCUUACCAAGGCAACGAUGCGUAGCCGACCUGAGAGGGGGAUCGGCCACACGGGAACUGAGACACGGUCCAGACUCCUACGGGAGGCAGCAGUAGGGAAUCUUCCGCAAUGGGCGAAAGCCUGACGGAGCAACGCCGCGUGAGUGAAGAAGGUCUUCGGAUCGUAAAACUCUGUUAUUAGGGAAGAACAAAUGUGUAAGUAACUAUGCACGUCUUGACGGUACCUAAUCAGAAAGCCACGGCUAACUACG
Molecule: ribosomal RNA, 495 nt
Filed under: uncultured bacterium
Lineage: Bacteria
Description: partial 16S ribosomal RNA
Rfam family: Bacterial small subunit ribosomal RNA
Source: RNAcentral